RNAcentral lists this ribosomal RNA (468 nucleotides) under uncultured bacterium. Its description in RNAcentral is "partial 16S ribosomal RNA". It matches the Rfam family "Bacterial small subunit ribosomal RNA", at positions 28 to 507 of the family's 1533-position model. The record is from RNAcentral.
GACGAACGCUGGCGGCGUGCUUAACACAUGCAAGUCGAACGGAAAGGCCCUGCUUUUGUGGGGUGCUCGAGUGGCGAACGGGUGAGUAACACGUGAGUAACCUGCCCUUGACUUUGGGAUAACUUCAGGAAACUGGGGCUAAUACCGGAUAGGAGCUCCUGCUGCAUGGUGGGGGUUCGAAAGUUUCGGCGGUUGGGGAUGGACUCGCGGCUUAUCAGCUUGUUGGUGGGGUAGUGGCUUACCAAGGCUUUGACGGGUAGCCGGCCUGAGAGGGUGACCGGCCACAUUGGGACUGAGAGACGGCCCAGUCUCCUACGGGAGGCAGCAGGGGGGAAUAUGGCACAAUGGGCGGAAGCCUGAUGCAGCAACGCCGCGUGCGGGAUGACGGCCUUCGGGUUGUAAACCGCUGUCGCCUGUGACGAAGCGGGAGUGACGGUAAUGGGUAAAGAAGCACCGGCUAACUACGUG